UACGUAGGCAGCAAGCGUUGUUCGGAGUUACUGGGCGUAAAGAGUGUGUAGGCGGUUCUCUAAGUUUGGUGUGAAAUCUCCCGGCUCAACUGGGAGGGUGCGCCGAAAACUGGAGAGCUUGAGUAUGGGAGAGGAAAGCGGAAUUCCUGGUGUAGCGGUGAAAUGCGUAGAUAUCAGGAGGAACACCUGUGGUGUAGACGGCUUUCUGGACCAUCACUGACGCUGAGACACGAAAGCGUGGGGAGCAAACAGG
RNAcentral lists this ribosomal RNA (253 nucleotides) under uncultured bacterium. RNAcentral describes it as "partial 16S ribosomal RNA". It matches the Rfam family "Bacterial small subunit ribosomal RNA", at positions 524 to 776 of the family's 1533-position model. The record is from RNAcentral.